GACGAACGCUGGCGGCGUGCUUAACACAUGCAAGUCGAACGGAAAGGCCCUGCUUUUGUGGGGUGCUCGAGUGGCGAACGGGUGAGUAACACGUGAGUAACCUGCCCUUGACUUUGGGAUAACUUCAGGAAACUGGGGCUAAUACCGGAUAGGAGCUCCUGCUGCAUGGUGGGGGUUGGAAAGUUUCGGCGGUUGGGGAUGGACUCGCGGCUUAUCAGCUUGUUGGUGGGGUAGUGGCUUACCAAGGCUUUGACGGGUAGCCGCCCUGAGAGGGUGACCGGCCCCAUGGGGCUGGAGAUAGGGCCAGGCCCCCACGGGGGGGCAUCGGGGGGAAUGAUUGCACAAUGGGCGGAGGCUUGAUGCAGAACCUCCGUGUGGGGAAGGCCGGCUUUCGGUUAGGAAUCCGUUUCCGCGUGGAACGAAGCGUGGGGGAGGGUAAUGGAUAAAAAAGCACGGGCUAAUUACGUG
This 468-nucleotide ribosomal RNA is filed under the name uncultured bacterium. Its description in RNAcentral is "partial 16S ribosomal RNA". It matches the Rfam family "Bacterial small subunit ribosomal RNA", at positions 28 to 507 of the family's 1533-position model. The record is from RNAcentral.